AUACGGAGGGUGCAAGCGUUAUUCGGAAUCACUGGGCGUAAAGGACGCGUAGGCGGGUUGGCAAGUCAGAUGUGAAAUCCUACAGCUUAACUGUAGAACUGCAUUUGAAACUGCUAACCUAGAGUAUGGGAGGGGGAGAUGGAAUUAGUGGUGUAGGGGUAAAAUCCGUAGAUAUCACUAGGAAUACCGAAAGCGAAGGUGAUCUCCUGGAACAUAACUGACGCUAAGGCGUGAAAGCGUGGGGAGCAAACAGGAUUAGAAACCCUAGUAGUCC
This 274-nucleotide ribosomal RNA is filed under the name uncultured bacterium. RNAcentral's name for it is "partial 16S ribosomal RNA". It matches the Rfam family "Bacterial small subunit ribosomal RNA", at positions 523 to 796 of the family's 1533-position model. The record is from RNAcentral.